Molecule: transfer RNA, 72 nt
Filed under: Cavia porcellus (domestic guinea pig)
Lineage: Eukaryota; Metazoa; Chordata; Mammalia; Rodentia; Caviidae
Rfam family: tRNA
About the family: Transfer RNA (tRNA) molecules are approximately 80 nucleotides in length. Their secondary structure includes four short double-helical elements and three loops (D, anti-codon, and T loops).
Source: Rfam by way of RNAcentral
GGGGAUAUAGCUCAGUGGCACAGUGCUUGUCUGGAAAGCACAAGGUCCUGAGUUCAAUUCCCAGUACCCCCC